This 250-nucleotide unclassified non-coding RNA is filed under the name Hevea brasiliensis (rubber tree). The record is from RNAcentral. Lineage: Eukaryota; Viridiplantae; Streptophyta; Magnoliopsida; Malpighiales; Euphorbiaceae.
UGAUGAUACAUAUAGUAUUUGGAGAUGGAAAGGAUACCUGAAGUUAGAGAAUCAACUAGGCAGUUUCCUAUAGGGGCUAAGGUGGCUCAUACUUUCUCAACCUCCAAGAAGGAGGUCGGUAUUAGAGGCUUUCGAGAUUUUGACUUGGCUAUUCCAAUACAAACAUGGAAAGGAAAGACCUCCUAUCAGGAGGAAGAAGACCUGAUGGUCGAUGCUGGUACAAUCAAGCGUAGUGAUGAUUCACUUGAAG